Molecule: ribosomal RNA, 253 nt
Filed under: uncultured bacterium
Lineage: Bacteria
Description: partial 16S ribosomal RNA
Rfam family: Bacterial small subunit ribosomal RNA
Source: RNAcentral
UACGUAGGGAGCAAGCGUUGUCCGGAAUCAUUGGGCGUAAAGCGCGCGUAGGCGGCCUCAUAAGUCCGUUGUGAAAGUCAAAGGCUCAACCUUUGAAAGCCGAUGGAUACUGUCGGGCUCGAGUCCGGAAGAGGCGAGUGGAAUUCCUGGUGUAGCGGUGAAAUGCGCAGAUAUCAGGAGGAACACCAAUGGCGAAGGCAGCUCGCUGGGACGUGACUGACGCUGAGACGCGAAAGCGUGGGGAGCAAACAGG